AUAUCGAAGAUAAACUCAUUUCUCUUCUUUUUCUUCUUAGUUGUUCUUCGUUUUCUUUUUUCUGAACUUCUUCUUUUUCGCUGUUCUUCGAUUUUUUUUCUUCUCAAAAGAAUGAACUCAGAAAUCGUUCUUAUCAAUUAAGAAGAAAUCUGGAGAAGUAAAUGAAUUAGGAAAGUGUUACUGAGGUUGUGAAUUUGGUUUUGGUUUUGGUUAGGGUUAUUAUUAAUUGAAGAACGACGAAUCAGUAAGAAAUAGAGUUAGGGUUUCUGCAGUUAGUAUUGAGUUUGUGAAAAAUCGAAGGAGGAAUUGGUGGAUUGAAUAACAUAAGGAGGAGUCGGUAGUAUUAACUCGGGUUACAUAGCAUAGGGUUAAUCAGGAAGAGGAGGUUAGGGUUUGGAAAUUGAUUUAAGGUUCAAUUAGUGAUAGAUGGGAAGAAAUCAAAGACUGGAUUUGGUGAUUUUAGAAGUGAAUCGAUGUUUUGAAACGAUGGUUCUGAGUAUAGGUGAUGGUGAUUGAAGAUGAAACCGAUGGUUAAGGUUUGAAAUUUGAUUUAAGGUUACGGUAAAAUUGAGAAAAAGUUAAGUAAAUGAGGCUUUGGUCAAGUAUAUGAUGGUAGAAGGGUUUCAGGUGGAAGUAGAACUUCUUGUCCAACUGCUGUAGAGAUUCUUUCAGGUCUCGUGCGAUGGAAAGUCUAAUGAUCAAACUGCUCAUGGGAAAUCCUAUUUUGAUUGUUGCGGUUUAUGAAGCCUUGCCUAUUUUCUGUCAUGUCGAACCAGAAUGGAAGCCAAGUAAUUCAAAAACUUUGCAAACAUGUGCAAAAUAUGUACUUGGGGGAUCUUUACGAAAUAGCAGUAAUAAACUGCGAUAAGAUUGCUACUACAAAACACAGAUGUUUCUCUCUCAAAGCUGUUAUUGAAUCCAUAGACGAUCCUCUCAAAUUUCAGCUGCUAUCAAUCAUCAUAGACCAGGCCGUGUCCCUUUAUGCACACGAAUACGUGUACUAAAGUCUAAACAUAAUAUCUCAGUUCAAAUAUUCUGGUUAGUGUCCUCUGAUCUGGCAAGUAUUUGAUGUUAAGUGUACUUUGCAGGAAUUUUGUGGUGCAACAUGUACUAGAGCGCCAUCCUAAUACUGCCAACCUUAUAUGCAAUAACCUUAGGGGACACUUAUUUCGAAUUUCUAAGGAUAAGUAUGGCAGUAAUGUUGUAGAAAAAUGUAUCAAAUCGAAUUCUACCGAUGUUGUAGUUUCGCAACUCUUCUGUGAUUGUAAUCAACUUGUUGAACUCUCUCAAGAUAAGUUUGGCAACUAUGUCGUCCAGAAAGCCCUUAAGCUUGGUAAGGGAAAGGCAUUACGCCAACUAGUUGACGCCCUUCGUAAAUGUUCGGGCGAUCUCAAGAAUCAUCCAAAUCGGAGGAAUGUGCAUAACUUGAUUAAAAGGAGAAUUGUUGUUGUACGAGAAUGAUUUAAGUUGUUGUACGAGAAUGAUUUAAGAUAUUGUUGCGUAGUAUGGAGCCGUUAUGCCCAUUGUGCAGACAAGACGACGGAUGAUAUUAAUGAGCAGACUGAGAACAUGAAGCAGGUUCAUGAAGCUUUUUCAAAUCUCGUUAGAGCAGCUGCCGACUUUGAUGAGAAAGAAUUGAAAUCUGAACUUGAGGAGUUGGAAGAAGCUGAAUUGGAGGAACAAGUUCUACAACCUGUAGCCUAAACUCAGGUUCAAAUAACGAAGAUGCAUUGAAGGCGUUGCUUGUUUCAACUGGAGUGAUCAAAGCUUAACCAACUGAUGAAAGUUUAAGGGAUUGAAUGGUUGGCUUCGUUCAUGUUUCUGCAGCAAAUAAAGCAAUAGAUAACCACAAGGAUAAACUGGUAGUAAAGGAGGCACCAAGAGCAGUGAGUAUUAACUUUCUUGAAUCAAUCUUAAAACCUAGUGCAACAUAUACUGUAAGAUCUAUGUAACAUGAGGUUGUGUAAAAACUUUUAUUCGUUUUUAGAAAACAAUUAUUGAGUAUGAAUUAUGAAACUUGAAUUUGAAUGCAAGGGAGAAAGCACGAUAAAAACUUGCCCAGUAUAGAAUGAA
Papaver somniferum (opium poppy) is the source of this 2073-nucleotide long non-coding RNA. RefSeq lists it as uncharacterized. NCBI's taxonomy places the organism in Eukaryota, Viridiplantae, Streptophyta, Magnoliopsida, Ranunculales, Papaveraceae. The record is from RefSeq and is a predicted model, not a curated record. The transcript is spliced from 8 exons.